This is a long non-coding RNA of Oncorhynchus tshawytscha (Chinook salmon), 2504 nucleotides long. Lineage: Eukaryota; Metazoa; Chordata; Actinopteri; Salmoniformes; Salmonidae. The record is from Ensembl.
ACACACACACAUACACACACACACACACACACACACACACACACACACACACACACACACACACACACACACACACCACACUCCUACAGAGACACAUAUGUUAAACUGCAUGGGGUGAACAAAUUAGAAAGCAAACCUGUUUCGAUGUCAGACAGAAAAUAAGACUUUUUGGGGGAGUAUCACAAUAAAAAAUCAAUUAUGUUCAGUUUUGAACAAACUGAUGUGGGAUUUUAUCAUUAGGAUUCUAUUAGACUUAGGCUGCUUAAAAAGUACAGUUCUGUGUUCAACACAAGCUUGGGGAGUGUUUCUUUAUUCUCAUCAAAUGUUUGAUAGUUGAAUCUGGACUCUUAUAACUGACAUACUACACAUUUAAAUCCUUGUCUCGUUGAUUAUGUGUCUAGAUUUGUACUCACAACAGUAGGUACAUGAGGAAAAGAAGGCCUCCGAUUGGAUAAGCCAGAUUGUCCGGUGUGACUUUCCCCUCCGUCAUUGGCUGGGUGACUUCUUAGGGGCGGGUGGUGGGGUAGGAUGGGGGAGCAGUGUACAUAAUUGGGUUUCCAUGGCAUUACCAACGAGUGUUGUUAGGGGUUCAUUGCCCAUAGCUGCCCAUCGAAGCAGAGGAAGCCAUUGUCUAUAGGUAGCCAUGGCAAUAGUUGCCGGGGUGUUGUCCAAAGCCAAGCCACAGGUUUGGCGGAUGGUUUCAGCACAACAUUAUAGGCGCAGACACAGACAUGGGCACUGGAUUAGCACUGCCAUGGGGCCCAGCGCCUAACAUUCCUCUGCUUUCCGACUGGGGUAAGCAGCUACUAGGCUCUGCUCGGGUGGCUGAGCCACAAUGGCCGCCUCUGGUAGCAGGGGUCAACUCCUCCGAAAGGAAGCCGACUUCCUUAAAACUGAAAACGUUUACUAGGGCAAAUUGACAUAUCUAAUAGGCAAUAUUCCCUUAACAUUUCAGAACAUAUAGCCCCAGAGAACGCUCUUGUUCGGGCUGUUUUGAGAUAGACAGCUGCUAGGGAUCUUCCUAAACCUUUCAGAACGUUUAUCCACAGUGAACGUGCCUCAGUCCCGCUAUGCAACGAUGAAGGGUAGAGAUGGAUGGUGAGGGAGCAGCUAGUUGAGGUGGAUGGUUUGCUUCUUCACCCCAUAGGUGAUAAAGGCCACAGCCUGUGAGGACACACAGCAGAUGUAGUUGAGAGACAGGCCUCUGUACAGACCCUUCUUCACCCCAUAGGUGAUAAAGGCCACAGCCUGUGAGGACACACAGUAGAUGUAGUUGAGAGACAGGCCUCUGUACAGACCCUUCUUCACCCCAUAGGUGAUAAAGGCCACAGCCUGUGAGGACACACAGUAGAUGUAGUUGAGAGACAGGCCUCUGUACAGACCCUUCUUCACCCCAUACUGACUGUAUACAAGAGUCUUGGUCAGGGUACUGUAGAGGGAGACAAGUGGGAAGACAAAGUUAUGCUUUAUUUUACAGUGCUUAGCAGGAACGUAUUUAUCAAUUACAUUGUAAUAUGUUAAUUACAUGAUAAUAAAAGAUAAAAAUCAGUUAGAGAUGUUUGGAACAGGUUAUUCUGCCAGUGCCAGUCUGUUUGGCUGGUUAAUACAGACAGAGACAUACACACAGGCUCGGGAAUGACAUCAUCAGACACACAAGCCCUCAUUGUAUGGAGUAGAACAUAGUAACUCAACAGUCUUACUCUGUGAGGAGGUUGUCUAGUAAAUAAUGACGGAGUAUCAGGUGCUGGAGUAAUUCCACUGCCACGGUACAGCAGGGUGAACUGUGAAAAGCAGGCCUGGUAUGCUGUAGUCUCCUUGAGGACCAACCAUGUUCACUCAUGACUGCAAGGCACGACUCAAUAAUACCCACACUCCACAAAACUCCUAUUGCCAAGCGAUUUUUCUAAGUAUUCAAACAGGGUCCUUUUGCCUUUCAGAUUGUAAUACAUUAGAUGAUAUGUGCAGGGGUAUAUACUUUUUUUUAAAUAAGAGCCCUGUGUUUGUAGAGGAAGGGGUAAAUGGCGCCACUUAACGACAUUUGUCAGAUUCAGGAAGCACCACUCCUAACUGCAUCCUUCUCCAGGCAACAUCUAGAGGAUAGCUGGGAGAGGAGAUGGAGAAGAGGAGUACUCUGGACAGGAGACAGGAACAUUCUUGGAACAUUCUUUCCAUGUUCACCAUCUGACUAAUAAGACAAUCUUAGUUACAGAUAGAACAGAGUAAUAGCCUCAGUAUAACUGGCAGAUGGAUGAUGAUACACACAAACAGUUAUAGCAACAGACCUUGACUACAGUCAUGUGACUUCUACAGGCACCGUAUCUACUGUAUAGACAACAGACCUUGACUACAGUCAUGUGACUUCUACAGGCAUCGUAUCUACUGUAUAGACAACAGACCUUGACACCGUCAUGUGACUUCUCCAGGCACCGUAUCUACUGUAUAGACAACAGACCUUGACACCGUCAUGUGACUUCUCCAGGCACCGUAUCUACUGUAUAGACAAC